AUGCUAUCUGACAUGGACAGUAGUCCUGGAAAAGAUGGUAAUUUGACUCCUAGUCCUAGGCUGCAUUCAGCAACCACCUCAAGCUCUGAUAUCAAAGAUCAGUGUAGUGACAAACCGUCCUCUUUGAUUAAGGAUCCUUUACAAACUGAGGUCUGCAGUGUUUGCCCAAAGGACAUCCUAAGCCGUUUAACACUUCCCCAAGGACAUGAUCUCGAUUCUCUUUUAUCAGCUGGAAGCGAGAGCUCAGCUACAGGGCCUUCCAUGACAACUCAUGGACCUAGUUUGCCACCAUUUACUUGGUCACACUCACAAGCUGGGGUUUACCGACCGAGCGUUGACUCUGGUAAACAUGGGUCAAGUAGGAGUAACUCCCAUUGGCAGUGGUUGAGAGUUGGAUCAUAUCCAACCGCUCAGGAUUAUGAAGAUUUACCUGUCCAUCAAAUUGAUGAUCUUCUUCAGGAAAUGGAUAUGGCAAAGUCGUCUAUCAUUGAUUCAUGUAGCAGACAAUCUAAUUUAUGCUGCACGGAAUCAACUUCCGGAUCCCUCGGACAAACUAUUUACUCAAGAAAAACUGAAAGCGAGCAUGGUCCGCAGCAACUGCAUCCACUAGACCAUGUGGGCUCCUCAGAUAGCUUCCAGAGGAAUGACAGUGAACGUUCUCUUCUGAAAGCACGUCAAGCAUCACGGAAGAUAUUGUGCGCAGCUGAGACCCUAUGUGAUAUGAGAAGAAGCACGGAAGGGUGGAGUCCCCAAGUAUAUAGCAAUGGGACAAUAAAUUUGCCAAAGUCACCUCCUGAUAAGCUGAAAGCCCGUAAGCCGUCAUCACCGUUUGGUACAGCUGAGAGCUCCUCGGGCUCUCGGAAUAGUGAUCCAGCUCGCAGCGGAAACCAUUCUACCAAGAAAGUGGUCGAUAGGAAGAACGAUUCUGCUGCGUGCAUGAGCAACCCAGGGAAAGGGCUUAUUAGGUGGCCUGUUCCUAUUGAAGAUGCUGUAUCUCCUGUCAAACCCGAGAAGGGCCUUAUGCUUGAUAUGAGACAAAACCACAGCAAUGCCGCAAGGCAUCCGAUUCAUGUAUCGUCCCAGGCACGGCUUGAGAAGGAAUACGAAAACCAGCAGAAGCUGAGGAAAGCAACAUUGGCCUCGUCUCUAGGAUCGGGAGACUGGAAUAAGGAGAGGAACAGGAGAUUGUGA
RNAcentral lists this ribosomal RNA (1191 nucleotides) under Triticum aestivum (bread wheat). Its description in RNAcentral is "partial small subunit ribosomal RNA". Lineage: Eukaryota; Viridiplantae; Streptophyta; Magnoliopsida; Poales; Poaceae. The record is from RNAcentral.